CCUACGGGGGGCAGCACUUAGGAAUAUUACACAAUGGGGGCAACCCUGAUGUAGCGACACAGCGUGGAGGAAGAAGGUUCUCGGAUCGUAAACUCCUUUUAUAUGGGACGAAUAGAUGACGGUACCAUAUGAAUAAGUACCUGCUAACUACGUGCCAGAAGCAUCGGUGAUGCGGAGGGUACAAACGUUAUCCGGAUUUAUUGGGCGUAAAGAGAAGCGUAGGCGUUUUUGUAAGUCUUGAGUUAAAGACCACGGCUCAACCGUGGAAGAGCUGUCGAUACUGCAAGAAUUGAGACAGGAAUGGGCGAAUGGAAUUCCGAGUGUAGCGGUGAAAUGCGUUGAUAUUCGGAGGAACAUCAGUGGCGAAGGCGAUUCGCUGGUCCUUGUCUGACGCUAAGGCUCGAAAGCGUGGGUAGCAAAAC
RNAcentral lists this ribosomal RNA (422 nucleotides) under uncultured prokaryote. RNAcentral's name for it is "bacterial SSU rRNA". It matches the Rfam family "Bacterial small subunit ribosomal RNA", at positions 338 to 774 of the family's 1533-position model. The record is from RNAcentral.